Molecule: long non-coding RNA, 2287 nt
Organism: Cercocebus atys (sooty mangabey)
Lineage: Eukaryota; Metazoa; Chordata; Mammalia; Primates; Cercopithecidae
Exons: 6
Source: RefSeq, a predicted model, not a curated record
CUCCUUGCUGCUGCUAUGUAAAGGACGUUUUUGACUCCACUUCUGCCACAAUUGUAAAUUUCCCGAGGCCUUCCCAACCAUGCUGAACUGAUGGAAUACAGAAAAUGUCAAAGCAAAAAUGCAUUACAAAUGUAUGAAUCGACAUCACUGAAGGAAAUGAAGGAAAAAGUUCUGACCUACGUGUCUUUGGAAAUAAGUGGAAACUUUUGAAAUAUUAAUAACUUCACAGCAACAUCUAAACUCAUGUUUAAGUACCUGAGUACAGAACCUAUCCAAGUGGACAAAUAAUCUUAACUAUCACAGGUAAUGAAGGCUGGAAAUUCCAAGAGCAUGGCUCCUGCAUCUGGUGAGGGGUUCUAUGUUGCAUCAUCCCAUGGCCAGUGGCAGAAGAGCAAGAGAGAAUCAACUAGAGAGAGAGCAAGAAAAAAAGGGACAAACUCAUCCUUUUAUGAGGAGCACACACCAAUGUGUCAAGAAGAUCACCUACAUAUGAGAUAGAAUUGAAAAAAAUAAUGGACUAAUUGGAACUUGCUGAGGUAGUUGAAAGAAUCAUGACUGAUACAGAAGUUAACAACUUUAGAAAUGGAUUGAGCAGGAAACAACUUGAGAACACAUGCUAGUACAUAAAAAUGUGACAGAUGGAAAAUAUCAGAUUUCCAAAUUCAUAGUAUUGAUAUUUGUAAAAUGCUAUCUAUGGAAUAGAAAAAGAGAAGGAUACAGAUGCCCAGGAAUAACUGUGAAAAGCUGAGGAAGAUAGAAUUGAGAUGAGAACUGAAGAACUGAUAAGAUUUGAGGAUUGGCUUGGGAUCAUAUACACUAUGUAGUUUAGAAUGCAUUCUACAUUUUUCUCCCAGUCAGAAUUUAUAUAAAUAAUGUGGAUAUAACCCAAAUAUUGCAAUUAGAUUUAUUAAAUCAAUGUUUGCAUGUAAUGUAAGAAUUGCCCUCAGUUGUGAUAUAGAGAUAUAGAAAUUGUUUUUCCAUUGUGUGCUCUCCAAUUUAGUCAGUCAUGUAACAAAAAGGAUUUGUGUAUGUAAAAUUCAAUUAUUUCUCAUGAAAGGGAGAACCAUGUAUUUUUUAUAUUGAAAUGUGUAGCUCAGAACAUAAAAUAUCUGCAUGAUAUCGAAUGAAAAGCACCAGAAAUAAUUCUAAGUUCAGUGUUAUAAACUGAAUAUUUUUAUGCCUCCCUCUUUCCCUACCAAAUUCAUAUGUUGAAUUUCUAACCCUCAAUGGGAUGGCAUUAGGAGGUGGGACUUUUGGGAGCUGAUUGGGUCAUGAAGGUGGAACCCUCAGAAAUGGUAUUAUUGUCCUUAUAAAAACAACUUUAGAGAAAUCUCUUACCGUUUUAAUGCCAUAUGAGUAUAUAAGGAAUAUAAGGAGAAGACAGCAACAGUCUGCAACCUGGAAGAAGGUCCUCAGUAGAACACAUCUAUGCGAACACCUUGAUCUUGUACUUCCUGUAUCCCUAACUUUGAGAAACACAUUUCUCUUUUGUAUUUGCCUCCUAGUCCAAGGUACUUUGUUAAAACGACCCAAAGUAAGACAAGUAUUUUUUAACAUUAGAAGUUAUUUUAAGAACUAUGGUUGAUAAAGUUGUUUUUGUUUUCCCUUACAUAUCUAAUUUUCUUCCUAUAUUCAGUCAUUUCAUAUUGUUUUUCAGUCUCUAGCAUUUUCAACAACAUAAAUGGGAAAACAAAGUAAGAUUACACCAAAGAUCUCAAAAGUAAAAUCCAAAAAGAAAAGGGGAAAACUUUUUCAAUUAUGGCUUCUCAGACACACGAUUGACAUAAGUAUCUCAAAAUUCCUGACAAGAAAGUUAUGUUUGUCCACAGCUCUCGUGAGAACAUUGUAUUAGUAAAGCAGACGUUGACAUUUAUGUUUUAGUUCUCACUUCUCUAAUAAUUAAAACUCUGAGUUUCUACUGCAAGUAAUAAAUGAAGUUAAUUUAAAAAAUACAUAAACAAUAGUUCUGAAUUUUUCUCUGAUAAUAAGUAAUAUUGCUAUAUAGAGAUUCUGGUUGACAGGCAUCUCUGUUAUUUCUCAUUAUAGUCACAGCGAUGUUUCACUUUUGUUUAUCCCCAGUGAUAAUUCCUUUGCCUUACAUACUUCAUUAAUCUAUCUAUCUAUCUAUCCAUCCAUCCAUCUAUCCAUUGAUCUAUCUAUUCAUCAAUCAGCAUUUUUUAAACACCAAGCUAUGUCAGGUGGUGAUAUUUGUUCCCAAAGAAUACUGUGCAUGUAUCUGUCUCAUUACUAUACUAUAUUAAAAUAUAUCUAUUUACAUUUUAUGCCC